RNAcentral lists this ribosomal RNA (102 nucleotides) under Citrobacter freundii. RNAcentral also lists the same sequence under 3 other names. The record is from RNAcentral. Lineage: Bacteria; Pseudomonadati; Pseudomonadota; Gammaproteobacteria; Enterobacterales; Enterobacteriaceae.
CCUGGCGGCUGUAGCGCGGUGGUCCCACCUGACCCCAUGCCGAACUCAGAAGUGAAACGCCGUAGCGCCGAUGGUAGUGUGGGGUCUCCCCAUGCGAGAGUA